AUUCUUGUAGUUGAAUACAACGACGGUUUUUCAAGCCGUCAGUCCUGGUUAGAACCCUGGUAAGAAUU
Molecule: transfer RNA, 68 nt
Filed under: Betta smaragdina (blue betta)
Lineage: Eukaryota; Metazoa; Chordata; Actinopteri; Anabantiformes; Osphronemidae
Description: tRNA-Glu
Rfam family: tRNA
About the family: Transfer RNA (tRNA) molecules are approximately 80 nucleotides in length. Their secondary structure includes four short double-helical elements and three loops (D, anti-codon, and T loops). Further hydrogen bonds mediate the characteristic L-shaped molecular structure. tRNAs have two regions of fundamental functional importance: the anti-codon, which is responsible for specific mRNA codon recognition, and the 3' end, to which the tRNAs corresponding amino acid is attached (by aminoacyl-tRNA synthetases). tRNAs cope with the degeneracy of the genetic code in two manners: having more than one tRNA (with a specific anti-codon) for a particular amino acid; and 'wobble' base-pairing, i.e. permitting non-standard base-pairing at the 3rd anti-codon position.
Source: RNAcentral